This 216-nucleotide unclassified non-coding RNA is filed under the name uncultured Fibroporia. Its description in RNAcentral is "sequence contains ITS2". The record is from RNAcentral. Lineage: Eukaryota; Fungi; Basidiomycota; Agaricomycetes; Polyporales.
AAUUAUCAAACCCCUUUUACUUUAUUGUAAAAGUGGGCUUGGAUUUGGAGGUUUAUUGCUGGCUGCAUUAAAUUGUUGGUCAGCUCCUCUUGAAUGCAUUAGCUUUGAGCCUUUAACGGGUCGGCUUAUCGGUGUGAUAAAUUUUAUGCCGUGGUCGGUUUCGUGAAUAAAAAUCAAGCUUCUAAUCGUCCUUCUUAAUGGGACAAUACAUUUGAC